AGGGGUGUGUCUGCGGUGUGCUGCAGAUGGCGUGUCAGCUGCCUAACGUUGCAUAAACAUGCUUUGUUGCUAUGAUUGUUAUGCAAUGUACUUGUGGAACAAACUAUAGAGUACCAUGAUCCUCCCUUCCUCUCCUUUUAGACACAGACCGGGAUACCCACUGAAGAAUGUCUCAUCACCUCUCCAGUUAUCCCUGGAUCGAUCCAGCCAUCAGCACAAGGCUCUAUCUACAUAAUGUACCUACAACACAGCACUUCUGAAGAAACAUCGUAUGCUUGCAACAGUUCUGUUUCACUAUUGAGAGAUCAUUAAAUAAUGGGGUUGUCAUAGUGGGUUAGGAUUGUAGGUUGAUGUGAUGCUUUGGUAAGACACAUUACCAUAUACUGCUGUUCCAUUGAUAGGCGGAAGACAUUUUAGCAUGAAGUUCAAAUGAAUAAAACUAGUAAGAGACAUUAUCCGCUCUUUGUGCUGUUAUUUUAAUAGAGGCCAUGGCAAGAUCUUUAGAGGCUGGCAUUCACAGACAUGAGAAAAGCAGGGAAAGACGGUCUCGGUUAAAGUUCCUGUGAAUGUGUGUUUUUAAUAGGGUCUUUCUCCUGUCCCUGUCCAGCUGCACUCUGAUCCUCUGUGGUGUCUGUC
Oncorhynchus kisutch (coho salmon) is the source of this 636-nucleotide long non-coding RNA. RefSeq lists it as uncharacterized. The record is from RefSeq and is a predicted model, not a curated record. The transcript is spliced from 3 exons. Lineage: Eukaryota; Metazoa; Chordata; Actinopteri; Salmoniformes; Salmonidae.